RNAcentral lists this ribosomal RNA (323 nucleotides) under uncultured Veillonellaceae bacterium. RNAcentral describes it as "partial 16S ribosomal RNA". The record is from RNAcentral. Lineage: Bacteria; Bacillati; Bacillota; Negativicutes; Veillonellales; Veillonellaceae.
GGAGUAUGGACCGUGUCUCAGUUCCAUUGUGACCGUUCAUCCUCUCAGACCGGCUACCGAUCGUCGGCUUGGUAGUCCUUUACACUACCAACUACCUAAUCGGACGCAGGCUCCUCGCAAAGCGAUAAAUCUUUAGUAAAACUCCCAUGCGGAAACUUUACAACAUUCGGUAUUAGCGUCCCUUUCGGAACGUUGUCCCCAACUUCGCGGCAGAUUACCUGCGCAUUACUCACCCGUUCGCCACUAAACCCGAAGGUUCCGUUCGACUUGCAUGUGUUAAGCACGCCGCCAGCGUUCGUCCUCGAGCCACUGAUCAAACUACU